UGCUGGAGGUAUCAGAAGUGCGAAUGCUGACAUAAGUAACGAUAAUGCGGGUGAAAAACCCGCACGCCGGAAGACCAAGGGUUCCUGUCCAACGUUAAUCGGGGCAGGGUGAGUCGACCCCUAAGGCGAGGCUGAAAAGCGUAGUCGAUGGGCAACGGGUUAAUAUUCCCGUACUGGUGGUAACUGCGAAGGGGGGACGGAGAAAGCUAAAUCAUCCGGGCGACGGUUGUCCCGGUUUAAGCGUGCAGGUGGACUGACCAGGCAAAUCCGGUCGGUUGUUAACACUGAGGCGUGACGACGAGCCACUACGGUGGUGAAGUGAUUGAUGCUCUGCUUCCGGGAAAAGCCUCUAAGCUCCAGGUUACCAUUAAUCGUACCCCAAACCGACACAGGUGGUCAGGUAGAGAAUACUCAGGCGCUUGAGAGAACUCGGGUGAAGGAACUAGGCAAAAUGGUGCCGUAACUUCGGGAGAAGGCACGCUGGCAUUAGGUGAAGUGGUUUACCCAUGGAGCUGAAGCCAGCCGCAGAUACCAGCUGGCUGCAACUGUUUAUUAAAAACACAGCACUGUGCAAACACGAAAGUGGACGUAUACGGUGUGACGCCUGCCCGGUGCCGGAAGGUUAAUUGAUGAGGUCAGCCGCAAGGCGAAGCUUCUGAUCGAAGCCCCGGUAAACGGCGGCCGUAACUAUAACGGUCCUAAGGUAGCGAAAUUCCUUGUCGGGUAAGUUCCGACCUGCACGAAUGGCGUAAUGAUGGCCAGGCUGUCUCCACCCGAGACUCAGUGAAAUUGAACUCGCUGUGAAGAUGCAGUGUACCCGCGGCAAGACGGAAAGACCCCGUGAACCUUUACUAUAGCUUGACACUGAACAUUGAGCCUUGAUGUGUAGGAUAGGUGGGAGGCAAUGAAGUGUGGACGCCAGUCUGCACGGAGCCAUCCUUGAAAUACCACCCUUUAACGUUUGAUGUUCUAACCCGGGUCCAUAAUCUGGAUCGGGGACCGUGUCUGGUGGGUAGUUUGACUGGGGCGGUCUCCUCCCAAAGAGUAACGGAGGAGCACGAAGGUUGGCUAAGCAUGGUCGGACAUCAUGCGGUUAGUGCAAAGGCAUAAGCCAGCUUGACUGCGAGAGUGACGGCUCGAGCAGGUACGAAAGUAGGUCUUAGUGAUCCGGUGGUUCUGAAUGGAAGGGCCAUCGCUCAACGGAUAAAAGGUACUCCGGGGAUAACAGGCUGAUACCGCCCAAGAGUUCAUAUCGACGGCGGUGUUUGGCACCUCGAUGUCGGCUCAUCACAUCCUGGGGCUGAAGUAGGUCCCAAGGGUAUGGCUGUUCGCCAUUUAAAGUGGUACGCGAGCUGGGUUUAGAACGUCGUGAGACAGUUCGGUCCCUAUCUGCCGUGGGCGCUGGAAGAUUGAGAGGGGUUGCUCCUAGUACGAGAGGACCGGAGUGAACGCACCACUGGUGUACGGGUUGUGAUGCCAAUUGCAUUGCCCGGUAGCUAAGUGCGGAAGAGAUAACCGCUGAAAGCAUCUAAGCGGGAAACUUGCCUCGAGAUGAGUCUUCCCUGACCCUUUAAGGGUCCUGAAGGAACGUUUGAGACUAAGACGUUGAUAGGCUGGGUGUGUAAGCGCAGCGAUGCGUUGAGCUGACCAGUACUAAUGAACCGUGAGGCUUAACCUGACAACACCGAAGGUGUUU
RNAcentral lists this ribosomal RNA (1696 nucleotides) under Morganella morganii. RNAcentral describes it as "bacterial LSU rRNA". It matches the Rfam family "Bacterial large subunit ribosomal RNA", at positions 1271 to 2925 of the family's 2925-position model. Lineage: Bacteria; Pseudomonadati; Pseudomonadota; Gammaproteobacteria; Enterobacterales; Morganellaceae. The record is from RNAcentral.